CAAAGUCCAGAAUGUUUUCAUUGACAAAGCACCAGCUAAAACACAGAAUACCAAUGACUCUUAGACUCAUUCCCGGGCCUCCGGCUGACCACGGGAAAGGGGAUCUUCAGGAGCGGGUGUCUCAUGGCUGGGAAGAGGACGGCACAGGAGGGCUGGGGAACCCGAAUUGCAGCCUGAAUGGCCAGUGUCCUUUCUCCAGAAUGCAGUUCUCCCUUGCUCAGAAGAAAUGAGUCUGCCAGUGGGUACAACAUGAGAUGAUACUUCCACCCCCAUUGGUGACAGCCCUCACCUAGCUAUCAAGGUAUGCAGGGCUGACUUUUCACCUUCAGCCUGCUCCAGGGAAGGGCCAGAUGGCAUUCAGGCUGAUUCUGUGCUUCUGGCUGACUAAUCUCUCCAGGUACAAGAGUAAACAUGGAACGUGGGGACACCAUAUGUCCCUGACUCAUAGAGCUUGCAGGAAUCACCGUCAUUCUACGUGGCAUCUGCUUUCCUCGGCCGAGGUGGGAGGUGGGUCAAUGUAGCGGAGGAAACGUGUCUUAAAGUACAAGGCAGAGUGAACUGAAACAUAAAGAGAAGUGUGCACCUGGUAGUUGUAUCCUAAAUGACAUUUAUUUUCCAAAUGUGCUUUGUUUUGCUAGACAGUGUUCGACUUCCUUCACUCCUUCCAGGGGCCAGCAUGUGGCUGGCCACUGUCCACCCUCAGGGGUUGUGAACUGAAUUAAAGGGUUGCGUCCUUCAUCCAUUUUCUUUGCUGAACUGUCUUGAAUUUUACCCUAAGUUCAAAAUGAAGCAGACCAUAGCUGAGUUUAAAGGAGAUCCGAUUGACAUUGGGAAGUGGCACCCAAUAAGAUGGCUGUUUCUUCCGCCUGCUCCAGGGCUCGCCAACAGGAGAACUGAAAGCUGAAGCAUCUCAACCUGCAGAUACAUCUCAAAGGCCCCUUCAGCCGAUGUCCUCAGUGCCCUUGACACAGCCCCUUGGCACUUGCCUUCCACACACAUGCUGCUGCACCAGUUUCCUCCUGGUAGCAUCUUCCUUUCCGCCUGAGGAUUUCCCAGGCAUCCUGCCUCCAAGAAAGUCAGAAGUCAGUGCCUUCCUGAGAGCCGGUGAGAGCUCCGUCUCCCUUGGGCAAGUGGUGCUGAUGCCUGUUCCCUGCAUCCAUCUCUCAGAAGCCACAGCAGAACUGAGCUCCAGGGGCCACUGCGAGAAGCAUUUAUGGAGCUCGUGGAGUGAGGCAUCUCUUUAAUCCCUUCAGUAAGUCAGUGUGGGCCAAGGAGUCUGAGGAUCAGAGACCUUGUGACUUUUUAAGUGAAGAUUUACUAUGUGCUGGGGCCCAUUGUGUUUUAUUUUAUUGACUCGUCCCAAGCUCUAAGAGGGAGAGACCUUGAUUGUCCCAAUUUCACUGACACAGUUUGGGAAGGUUAAAACAUGAUGAAAGGAAAUAGACUGGAAUGAUACAGUAAUAUGGAAUUGAGCAUUUUCACCAACAUUUUUACAUGUUUUAAAAUGUCAUUUUCUGGCCAGGGGUGGUGGCUCACGCCUGUAACCCCAGCACUUUGGGAAGCUGAGGCUGGUGGAUCACUUGAGGCCAGGAGUUUGUGACCAGCCUGGCCAACACAGUGAAACCAUGUUUCUACUAAAAAUAUAAAAAAAUGGCUUGGUGUGGCCGUGCGCACUUUAAUACCAGGUACUUGGAAGGCCGAGGCAUGAGAAUCACUUGAAACUGGGAGGCAGAGUUUGCAGUGAGCCAAGAUCGUGCCACUGCACUCCAGCCUCGGAGACAGAGUGAGACUCUGUCUCAAAAAAAAAAAAAAAAAAAGUAAAUAAAAAUAAAAUGGUAUUUUAUUUUUCUUUCAUUCUUUUUUUUUUUUUUUACAAAAAAACUUUUAUUAUUAUUUUAGAUUUAAGAGGCACGUGUGCAGGUUUGUUACGUUGAUAUAUUGCAUAAUGGUAAGUUUUGGGCUUCUAGUGAACCCUUCACUCAAACAGUGACCGUUGUAUCUGACAGAUAAUUUUUCAGUUUUCACCUUCCUUCUGCUCUCCUGGCUUUUGGGUUCCCAGUGUCUAUUUUUUCCAUCUCUAUGUCCAUGUGGGCCCAUUGUUUAGCUCCCACUUACAAGUGAGGACAUGCAGUAUUUGAUUUCCUGUUUCUGAGUUAUUUAACUCAGAAUAAUGGUCUCCAGCUCCAUUCAUGCUGCUGCAAAAGACAUGAUUUCAUUCUUAAAAUGGCACUUUAUGAGGUUCGCUUUUCCUGGCAAGAUGAACUAACAAAAUGGAGAUGUUGGAUUCUUUUAUUAAACCCAAAUGUGGUGAGCCACAGAUGGAAGGUAGAAGGUUGCUGAUUCUCGAAAAAGAAUCUGGGAAAUGAUAGCCUAGGGUCAGGAGGGCCAGGUACCAAAAGGGAGGCUGGCUGGGGUUGUGGAGUUAUGUGCUUUUCCUUCCCUGAACUUCCCUCAAGAAAAUAAGAGCUUCCCCAUCACCUCAGCAAAGCAUCAGUCCCCCGGUGUUGAACCAGCUGGUACUCUGGCAGCCCUAAAGCACUCUCCUCCCGAGCUCCCACUUAAGCAAGGUGGGGAUGAUUUUAAGGCAGGCAGCUGUAGAAAAAGAGUAGGGCUCUGGGAGCUCUCCAGAGCUCCUCUGUCACCUGGCACAGAGGGUGGGUCACUCAGGGGAGGUCCAGCCCACAAUAAACAUGGAAGCCACGCACCCCGAUGUCAUCCCCCAGGCUCAUCCUCACCACGAGGCAGGCAAGGCCUGCACCUGGGCCUUUGCUCCUUCUCCCAGGGAUGUCAGACCAGCCAAGGCAGCCGGUGUUUCCACAUGCAUGUGGGCUCAGGAGGAUAUGAAAGGGUCAGGGCCAGCCCAAUAACUGAGCCACACACACUAGAUGAGAUGGUAGGGGAGUUCAGGCAGGGCAUGAAUUAAAGGAAGCUUAAUAAAUAUUCUCAAACAGAUCAGGAAAAACAAAACAAGAACACACAGCCACAAACAGACUUUAAUUGUUGGAAUAAAGAGCAUAAUUGAGGGACUGAAUAGUAGGGUGGAUUCAGUGGAAGAACAAAUCAGGAAGGACUCAGCAAGAUGAAGAGAUUGAGACGGAAAGUAAUAGUUAAGAACAUGGCUCCCUAUAACAGGAGUCCCAGAAAGAGGAAAAAAAUAAACAGGGGGUGAAACACACACACAAUUUCAGAAUGUAAGGUCUUAUAGAUAUAAUAAUAGUAGGAGAGAUGUCAAUAAAUCUUUUAAAAAAACACUGACAAAGGAGACAAAAAUUACCAAUAAUUUGGAAUAUUUGAGAAGCAUUAUAACAGUUACUUAAUGUUAUAUUGUCCAAUACAGUAGCCGAUAGCUACAUAACUCUUGAGCACUUGAAGUGUAGCUAAUGCAAGAAAAUUUUAAGAUUUUAUUUAAUUUUAAUUAAUUUAAAUUUUAAAACCUAAUACUUAAUUCAGGUAUUGAAAAACUUUUAAGUAUGUUUAGAACAAUCUGCUCUUUCAAUUGUAAAUUGAAAUCUAAAUACAGAUCAAGUGUAUCCAAUUUUAGUAUUUGUAUUGAAAUGCACUGAAAGAGCUAAAUCCACCCCAGGUUUCUAACACUCAAUACAGAAAAAUAAUGUAAAGCAUCUUGUUAAUAUUUUUAUAUUGAUUAUAUGUUCAAAUUGUUGUUUUGUAUAUAUUGUCUUAAAUAAUAUUAUUAAAAUUAAUUUCACCUGUGCAUUUUCACUUUUUAAUAUGGCUUCUAGAAAAUAUAAAAUUAUAUAUGUGGCUGGCAUUAUAUUUCUUUUGGACAACACUGAUCUAAUAGAUGUACAUAACUUACACCCACAGAGAAUAUUCAUUUUAAUUCCCAUGGAACAAAGAAAACUUUUGUAAAUGCCAAGUAAUCAAUACAUACACAAUGUGUUGAUUAUAAUGAAAUAAAGUUAAAAAAUCAGUAAUGGCAAUAAAACCACUUCGACCAUCUCUUGGACACAUAAAACAUUAUAAUGUAUGGUAUAUAACCAUUGGGGUUUAGAGGAAAUUUAAAAGAUAUUACAAAAUACUUGGAACUGGAUAAGAACAAAAGUGUCAAAUGUCAAACUUUAUGACCCAUAACUCUCAAGUUGCACUUAAAGUUUUACAUAAUUUUGAAUACACAAAUAGCAAACAAGACACCGAAAGACCACAUACCUAAGGACAUAACUAAACAUAUUAGAAAAAGAAAAAGAAAAAUGACAGAAUAAAACCAAAGCAAAGAAAAAGAUAUAAAGUGAGUUUAAAAAAAUCAAUGAAAUUGCCAAAAAUCCCCAUUAAAAUGUGAUUCUUUGAAAAAUGAGAUGGCAAAAGUGUCUGUGAAACUCUACACGCCAAUACAUUUAGACCCAGAUGGACAACGGCUUAGGAAAAAUAGCAGCCUUGGACUAGAGGAAUCAAAGGAAAGCUGCCGACAUGGAGUCACAAACAGCACUCUCUCUCCCAAUAGAAGCUUCUAGACAGGUUCCAAACCCAAACUAGGAAACCCGUUCCAGGAGGUUCCUAAGUGAGUGAGUGAUUUGGGAGCCAGAACACACAGGGAAUCCAGGGGAAAGUAGUAAAAUAAAAUAAAACAAGAAGGGCCUUGGGUGAGCACACUGCACCAUGGCCUGAGUAGUAGUAUUAUUUCAAUUAUUUGCACCUGAGGAGACGUACAGUUGCUUUCAAUGUCCAGAAUUUGCAGGUGAACCUCUCAGACCUUUGCUUUUCUCCUUUAUGGGUUUCUUUUCCCUGGGACACAUUGUCAGCCCUUAGCUGCUCACUAAAGCCUCCUGAUUUGAGAUCUAUAUGACAAAUGCCUGAUGCUAAGCAGAGAUGCUGAGGCCUGGAGCCAGGAAGGCGAAUUAGUUUCCUAGUUCUAAAGGUAGGGGUGUGUGGUGCAUGCAUGAGAGAGAGAGAGAGAGAGAAACAAGAGGGAGA
RNAcentral lists this long non-coding RNA (4929 nucleotides) under Homo sapiens (human). RNAcentral describes it as "HSALNT0265492". Lineage: Eukaryota; Metazoa; Chordata; Mammalia; Primates; Hominidae. The record is from RNAcentral.